This 28-nucleotide small RNA is filed under the name Bombyx mori (domestic silkworm). Its description in RNAcentral is "piRNA piR-bmo-2103120". Lineage: Eukaryota; Metazoa; Arthropoda; Insecta; Lepidoptera; Bombycidae. The record is from RNAcentral.
AAACGGAUGCGAUGACGAUCGGCUGGUU